ACUCAGUACUAUAGUAAUAUAAGCAAUUCGUGCAAGGGAGUAUAUAAAAUAGAGAACGAUAAGAAUCAUGGUUCCAUAUUAUCAUUAAUCGGUGGUAUAUAAAUAAGAAUACCUCAGUUUGACGUCCAGUGGUGCAAGGACACUACCACCUUCACUGCUCCCGCUCCCCAGAGAAAGACUAACAUUCUAACCAGUGUGCGUUGGUAGUCACUUGACGGUGUCUGCAGGCAAGGAAAUCACUGAAAAUGGUAACAACACCCUUCAGCUUAGGCCACCAGACGGAGGCGACAACGGAGAGUUACGGAGCCACAGAAGCCUCCACCACGGGUUAUGCCUCGGAGAGUUACGGAGCCACAGAAGCCUCCACCACGGGUUAUGCCUCGGAGCAUAAAUUCCACGCCGCGGACUGGGCAGUGUUUUCGCUGUUGCUGGUGGGGUCAGUGGGCAUAGGUGUGGUCAGCGCCGCCAGGAGCAGGAGAAAAACCACCACUCAAGAAUUCCUCCUUGGAGGAAAGAAUAUGCCACCAGUAGCAGUCGCCAUCUCCCUUUUGGGUGGUAUAAUUUCAGCCAUCUCCAUUCUAGGUAACCCAACCGAGAUCUAUUUGCACGGCACGCAGAUCACCAUCUCCCUGUUGGGCGCCAUACCGGCUACAGUCAUCAUUAACAAGAUCCUAAUUCCAGUUUUCUAUAACCUCAAUCUGGUUUCUCUUAAUGAGUACAUUGAGCUGCGUUACAAGAGCGUCGUCUUACGAAAGUUGGCCACCCUGGUGACUCUGCUGACGUUUUCUGUAUACGUGGGAUUGUGCCUGUACGCUCCCUCGCUGGCCCUCUCCACUGUCACCAGCCUCUCCACUUUGAACUCCAUGAUUAUCAUGGGCGCCAUCGUCACCUUCUACAUCACCAUCGGCGGAGUCAAGGCGGUGGUGUACACUGACGUGCUCCAGACGUUGCUCAUGUUCGGGGGCGUGUUCGCGGUGGUGGUGAUGUGCUGCAUUGACUUAGGAGGCGUCAGGGAGGUGUGGACGAUAGCGGAGCGUGGCGGAAGACUUGAGUUUUUCAACAUGGACCCCAGCCCUUACGUCCGCCACACCUUCUGGUCCACCUUCACCUUGGGAUUUUUCCUCAUUAUAAACGGAAUCGGUCUGAAUCAGACAACCUUCCAACGUUUUGCUUCCGUGAGAACACUGGAAAUUUCAAAAAGAUUGUCUUGGUUCUUCCUGUUUGGACUGUGGUGUCUCUGGUGCCUCUUCUUCUUCUCCGGCCUGGUCGCCUACGCCGUCUACAAUACGUGCGACCCUUACACCUCAGAGAAGAUCAGCAAACCAGAUCAGAUCAUUCCCUUCCUGGUAACCGACAAACUAGGACACAUUCCCGGAAUGGCAGGUCUCUUCGUGGCGUCUGUGUACGGCGGGGUGCUCAGCACACUUUCCUCCACGGGAAACUCUGCGGCCUGCCUCAUAUGGGAGGACUUUCUCAAACCUUUUCCCUACUUUUCGAACCUCAGUGAGUCCUCAGCCACCCGCGUGAUCAAGAUCUUAUCUUCUUUCACCGGCGUAAUGGCAGUGGGUCUAGGGAUGGUCAUGGGCAAGCUGGGAAAUAUAUUUCACGUUGUGCUGAGCAUAACCAGUGCCAUCGCCGGGCCCCUCUCCGGCGUGUUUUUGGCUGGUAUCCUGUUUCCUUGGGUUGAAAAAAAGGGUGCGCUUAUUGGCUUUCUGGUGUCCUUCUUCUACAAUAUGUGGAUGGUGAUUGGGAAGUUUAUAAGAGGCAGUGGACACCUAGAAAAGUUGCCGCUUUCCAUGGCCACUUGUGAGGGUUCCUUCAACACCACCCUGGAGGAUCUCGUCCACACCACCAUGGGCUCCUCUUCUCUAUACUCCACCACAGUCCCUACCACGCUCGGCAUGGAAGAGGAAGCGAACGCUAAAGGCAUUUACGACACGUCCUAUUGCUACAACGGCCUCAUUGGCGUGUCUUUCACCAUGCUGGGCGCGGGAAUCGUGUCUCUGCUGAUAGGCCCCAACCACCCCAAGGACGUAGAGGGCGGGGUGCUCAACCCGACUUGCGAGCGACUAUACAAGAAUAUAUGGUUCUGGUACCACAAAAGAAGAUUCUUCCGUAAUCGAGAGAUCAAUGAGACGCAGGACCACAGCUUAGAAAUGCGAAUGAUGCCCCAGCAUGAAUCUAAACUUCUCUCCCCUCAAUAGCCAAUACUCAGCAACAUCUCUUCGAGAAUCUGCCUCGAAUCACAGCAGAACCAAGCGAAUGCAAACUGAGGAUGUGUCUAAAGCCUGUAGGUACUACAUGCUCCAACCUCAAGAAAAACUUUUUCUUAAUUACUAUAUUACUUUCAUAAAAAAAAAAAACAUAUAAAAUGUGUCCAGAAAUAUCAUUUUCC
RNAcentral lists this unclassified non-coding RNA (2395 nucleotides) under Portunus trituberculatus (swimming crab). Its description in RNAcentral is "sodium-coupled monocarboxylate transporter 1-like, transcript variant X2". Lineage: Eukaryota; Metazoa; Arthropoda; Malacostraca; Decapoda; Portunidae. The record is from RNAcentral.